GAGCCUGAGAAACGGCUACCACAUCCAAGGAUGGCAGCAGGCGCGCAAAUUACCCAAUCCCGACACGGGGAGGUAGUGACAAUAAAUAACAAUACGGGGUUCUUUCGGAUCUCGUAAUUGGAAUGAGUACAAUUUAAAUCUCUUAACGAGGAACAAUUGGAGGGCAAGUCUGGUGCCAGCAGCCGCGGUAAUUCCAGCUCCAAUAGCGUAUANNNAAGUUGUUGCAGUUAAAAAGCUCGUAGUUGAAUUUCGGGGUUAGUAGGUUGGUCAUGCCUCUGGUAUGUACUGGUCUCACUGAUUCCUCCUUCCUUAUGAACCGUAAUGCCAUUAAUUUGGUGUUGCGGGGAAUUUGGACUGUUACUUUGAAAAAAUUAGAGUGUCUAAAGCAGGCUAACGCUUGAAUACAUUAGCAUGGAAUAAUGAAAUAGGACGUUCGAUCUUAUUUUGUUGGUUUCUAGGAUUGACGUAAUGAUUAAUAGGGAUAGUUGGGGGCAUUAGUAUUCAAUUGUCAGAGGUGAAAUUCUUGGAUUUAUUGAAGACUAACUACUGCGAAAGCAUUUGCCAAGGAUGUUUUCAUUAAUCAAGAACGAAAGUUAGGGGAUCGAAGACGAUCAGAUACCGUCGUAGUCUUAACCAUAAACUAUGCCGACUAGGGAUCGGAUGAUGUUAAUUUUUUAAUGACUCAUUCGGCGCCUUACGG
RNAcentral lists this ribosomal RNA (700 nucleotides) under uncultured fungus. RNAcentral describes it as "SSU rRNA". It matches the Rfam family "Eukaryotic small subunit ribosomal RNA", at positions 392 to 1093 of the family's 1831-position model. Lineage: Eukaryota; Fungi. The record is from RNAcentral.